CGCAAGCUAUGAAUGCCUGGCUUUGCUGACCUAAGGAGAGCUAACUACACUGCUAUGACGUGGUAGAAACAUAAGCAAAGGUAGAAGAAACUGCUGGGAUAGUGGGAAGAAGCUGGUAGCUGCUACCAGGAAGAAAAACACAUGUGAAGACAGUAAAACAGACCUAGGCUGGAACCAGCAGCAAGAGAAGUAGUUUUUUUGGAGCCGUGACUGAAAGCUGAAACAUUAUAGACUCCUAAGAACCUUUGAUAGCAGUACAUGAUCUCAUAGUAACCUGCAGAAGGCAACUGGAUAACGCUUUGGACUGGAUAACAACAGUUUCUAGCCUGAAUGAUUUACCCAUGCUAAUGAAGAUGGAAAUGGGCUUUCACAUCCAGCUCUUACAGGGUUUUCCUGUAUGUUGUCUAAAAUGGAUUUUCAUUUUAUCACCGAUGGCAGGAAAUUACCCGGCUCAUAACCAGGAUGGAAUAAACCUACCUAAUCCAGAGCUUGCACAAGACUAAAUCAAGCCAAAAGAAAACAUCUGGAGAUGUCAAAAUGUGGAUGAAUGGAAGUCUCAGCUGGAUUGUUCCAUACAGUUUUGGAUACCAUACUUCAGAAAUAUGUGGUCCAAAUGGAUGUACUCUGCAGAGAUUAAAAAGAAUAACUGGAAACUGUGAUCAGCAAGGAAAACAAAAGCAGAAUUAGGUUUAUUUAGUCUGAAAAAGAGAACUCCAAAGGAAGGCAGAAGAAAUAUUCCUUAGGUAUGCAAGCGCUUGCUGGGAAAUAAUAGCUUGUUGUCAGAGCAUUCACAGUGCGUAAGACAAAAGAUAAUGGAUCCAAACUGCAGUAAAGGAGAUUCAUGGUCAAAUCAAGGGGUAAAGUAUGAAAGGGUACCCUAGCACUGAAUUAUAUUGCCUGAGAAAGCUGUAAAUAUCCAUCAUUAAGGGAGAUAGUUGCUGUUGUUUCAGGCAAGUAUUUCUCAGUUAUGUCUAGACGUGGGUUAAAAGGAGAAAGUAAGCUGACUUCUGAGAAUGCUUCCAGCCAUAUUUUUUUAUAAUAUGUUUUGGAAGCAAGGAAGGAGGAAAGUAGUAGAGUUUGGAGGUGAAACCUGAAGAAACAUCCAAAGAUUAUGCUCUUUCACAUUAUUCUUUAAUUGGCAAAUACCACAUAUAAAAAAUAAAGGAAUUAUUUGUAUCUUCCCUGAUACA
RNAcentral lists this long non-coding RNA (1190 nucleotides) under Cyanistes caeruleus (blue tit). RNAcentral describes it as "lncRNA (ENSCCEG00000012958.1)". Lineage: Eukaryota; Metazoa; Chordata; Aves; Passeriformes; Paridae. The record is from RNAcentral.